RNAcentral lists this transfer RNA (67 nucleotides) under Bacteroidota bacterium. RNAcentral's name for it is "Bacteroidetes bacterium (microbial mat metagenome) tRNA-OTHER". It matches the Rfam family "tRNA". From Rfam's summary of the family: Transfer RNA (tRNA) molecules are approximately 80 nucleotides in length. Their secondary structure includes four short double-helical elements and three loops (D, anti-codon, and T loops). Lineage: Bacteria; Pseudomonadati; Bacteroidota. The record is from RNAcentral.
CGCGGGGUGGAGCAAUUGGUAGCUCGUCGGGCUCAUAACNNAGGUUCAAGUCCUGACCCCGCUACUA